Molecule: long non-coding RNA, 1990 nt
Organism: Rosa rugosa (rugosa rose)
Lineage: Eukaryota; Viridiplantae; Streptophyta; Magnoliopsida; Rosales; Rosaceae
Exons: 4
Source: RefSeq, a predicted model, not a curated record
ACCAGAGACAAAAUAGAUUGAAGGAAAUAAUAUGUACGAGGGUUAACAUGGUAAUCUAAAAAAAAAUAAAAGCAAAUUAAAAAUUAGAAAAAGAUGUGAAAACAUGGGAGAGCAGAAAAUGGAGCGGAGUAGGAGACGGAUUUCACGCCUUCACCCACGUUCAAUUUUAACCGCCCAUAGCGGUUUCGUACAAAGAGCGAGUGGAGGCCGCUGAUGAAAACAGAAGAGCAAUUGAGAAAUUGAACAAGGACACAGACCGGGGGUCAUGACCGAAACAGAAACAGAAAGACUUGAAAUAUACAAAGAUAAGGGGUUCAAACUUCAAACCAGGUGAGUCUUCUCUGGCCCAUAUGUUUGGUUUAGUUUGGUUUCUUAGAUAAGUUACCGGAAUUGAUGUUGAGAGAAUGGGUUUGAGCAAUAGUACAAUGGCCAGCAGUGGCUUAGUGAGUUCUCAUGUUUGAUAUUUUGAUCAUUAAUUCAUUAUUUAUUUUCCUGCUUUAUAAUCUUCUUCUAUAAACUUUGUUUCCUUUUACCAGGAUUGUUGUUUCGUUUUGGAUCAGAUUCUUUUCGUUUAAACUUCUCUAUAGUGCUUAAUUUUCUUGGUAUGGUUGCCUUUACCUCAUCUCUUGGUGCAUUGACAAUGUGGGAGGUAACUGCUCCUUUAAAUUUCUAUUUCAAUUUCAAUUGUCCCAUACGGUUUAUACAAAAGGAGGAAACCAGAUAACUAGCCCAGAGUAAGGAAUAAGUCUCUCUUGAAAACUUUGCACUAUUCUGUGAGUAAUUUGAUUUCAGGUGUGUUUUAGUUUCUUUCUUUUGUUCUCCUUUCAACUGAAUAUGUUCUCCAUUACACCAAUUUUUUUUUUUUUUUUUUUGUGUCAGUACUGUGGGUUAUGCAGAUAUAGUACGUUGUUGCUAUGUCAGGUGCUCCUUUUCCUUACCUUCUGUUUUGCUAACCAGAAAGGUGUGAAUAAGCAAACAUCAGUUUUGUUAUGUCUAUGGAAAAUAUAAGUUUAGGGAAAUUCUCUUCAGUUCACAGUAUUUUAUUUUUGUUUUUGUUUCUUUCUUUCUAUCCAAAAUCUUUUUCCAAGUAUGUAGAAUUUGCUGGUGAAAUUUGAUAUCGAUGAAAAGGAAAAUUUUCAUGUAUGUGGACAUGGUCAACAAAGAAUUUCAGUUUUAAUCUUUUGUGUUGCACUUUUAAUUGUGAUAAAAAGGAAAAACGAUCAUGAAAUCUUUUUUAAAGAAUUUGUUUGGAUAUCAAUUCAAAUAUGAAUCCAGUUGUCCUAGGAACUUGAAUCAACUGAAGCAUAAGGUUCAUUGAGUUUGGUUUCAUAGGUUAUUUAUUCUUUCUCUAUGAUUAGUUUAUUCAAUGCAUAUUUCUUUUGCUUGACUAAUUUUUUUUUACUAUUUUGCUGGUUAACAAAUCAGAAAAGAUAGAAGAAUGUGUGAGAACCCCUAAGUAGGGUACUGCAAUAUGAGUACUUUACACAUGUUUAGGAGUGGUUUAAUUUCAACUGCUUUUAGAAGAGCAAAUGGUGACCGAAGGGAAAACGAAGAGACCAGUUUAUGUUGUUUGAUCACUUUGAUCAAAUAUCACUCCUCCUUUAUGGUUAUGUUCUUGACGAUUGUGAAUUCCUUUUCACACUAAAAAUUGGACCCGCAAAGGAAGGUGAAAUAUUGUACCGUGGGUGAAAGGGCAACAGCCAAUGGUGCAGUAGUCAGUGAGUGAAAAAACACGAAGUUGAAAGUAAGAUCUCGGGAGGAUCAAGUAUGUGAAAAGUUGAGGCCUGGCCUUGAUUUUUGGUAGUUUAAUAAACUAAAAGUGCUUGAGUCUUUGAGAUGUUACAAUUGAACUGUGAAAGAUAUUAUCGAAUUGUCUCUACUUGAUAGAUUAGACAAUACAGAAAUGGACUUAUGUUCUUUUCAGCACGUUUUAUGUGUAUUCUGUUAACUGAUGGCAUUUGAUAUGUUCAUUGAAAUUCUUCUGUCAUAA